CUUUUUGGUCACCUGACUUCCUGUUGGUGUUGCUGAGAUUAGUUGCGGGUUACUUUUCUGAAGCCUCCAUCGCAGCUGAUGCGGAGUGCUGACGUGGAGGAGACUAGGGUGCCUUGGUGGUGGGAUCCUCUGAGUGUACACACCUGCCUUGUUUAAUUUAUUAGUAUGCGGAGUGCUGACGUGGAGGAGACUAGGGUGCCUUGGUGGUGGGAUCCUCUGAGUGUACACACCUGCCUUGUUUAAUUUAUUAGUGUGAGUGUGCUGCACUUGUGUCUUGGUGUAUUUUCUUUUUUUGAGUUUGUGUGUGGCAUCCCUGCCCUCCACUGGUAAGCCUCAGCUCUGAAUACCUUUUUUUGCAUACUUUUACAUUGAUAUUUAUCACUGUG
Oreochromis aureus is the source of this 386-nucleotide long non-coding RNA. NCBI's taxonomy places the organism in Eukaryota, Metazoa, Chordata, Actinopteri, Cichliformes, Cichlidae. The record is from Ensembl.